This is a long non-coding RNA of Marmota monax (woodchuck), 1966 nucleotides long. RefSeq lists it as uncharacterized. NCBI's taxonomy places the organism in Eukaryota, Metazoa, Chordata, Mammalia, Rodentia, Sciuridae. The record is from RefSeq and is a predicted model, not a curated record. The transcript has 2 exons.
GGUGGAAUGAGGUGGACAUCAUUACCCUAGGUACAUGUAUGAUCGCCCAAAUAGUGUGACUCUACACCACGUACAACUAGGGAAGUGAAAAGUUGUGUUCCGUUUGUAUACAUUAAAUUGAAAUGCAUUCUGCUGCCAUGUAUAACUAAUUAGAACGAAUUUAAAAAGGGUGGAGCUGGGGAAUGGAAUGUGGCUCAGUGGUUGAGUGCCCCUAAGUUCAAUCCCAGGUACCAAAAAUAAUAAAUAAAUAAAUAAAUAAAUAAGCAAUUUAAACAUGCAGAGCAGCUUUCCCAGCAUGAACAUGGGGAAAUUCAGAGAAGUCUUUCCGACUAGGGACUCCUCCUGAAACUCUCAGGGAACUGGGAAGUCCUUCACGAAUGGGGCUGUAUGAGGUUAAAAGACUGUGACGACCCGGUGGGCGAGCCAUUGACAAGCAAGGUCUGGUUGGGGAAGGUCCAAAGAAACUCGGAUGCAUCUCCGUGGGCUGGCUUCCAGAUCAUAUUUGAAUAGAUGGCUUUUAUUGUUUCAGGAAGACUCACAUACAUGGGUGUAUACACUAGAUGCCCUACUAUGCAACUUACUUUUUUACUUAAGGUACCAAAGACAUCUUGCUGAUGACUACAUAUAGCUCAAACUCACAAUCCAUGCAAUAGAUAUAACAGAACUUAUUCAGCUAGCGCCCUAUUAAUGUACAGAUACUUUGGAAUCAGUGAUAGAAGGAACACGCCUGGAUAUUAGUUCCUGCAUACUGAGGUUUUUAGCACACAGGUCAGCUCCUGUCACUUGAUUCCUCUAGGGGAAAACACAAACUCCUUACCUGGGUUUCUGAUUCCUCCAUUCCCUGGUCCUGUCACCCUCUCUGAGCUCAUCAUGAUAUUCCCUCCCUGUGCCAUUAGACACCAGCUACACCAGCCUUAUUGCAGGUCCUUGAAAUGUGCCAAACCUGUCCCUGCCUUGAGGCUGCCGCUCUGGCUGUUCCCUCUUCUAGAAUGCCCUUCCCUGAUGCUCAGUGACAGUUUCCUCACCAGUGCUCUAGGGAAAUGUCACCUCUUCACAGAUGGCUUCCUGCUCACCCAAGUUUAAGUGGCCACCCUCCCUCUCCUCUGUCAUAUGUUCUCUAUGCAGCCUCCAAAAUGCUUUAAUGUGUUCUCUUAAAAGAUACGUUGAAGUGUCUAACCCCAAGUGACCAUGACUGACCUUGUUUGGGAAUAGUUGCAGAUGCAGGCCCGUUAUGAUGACGUCACACCGCUGCACCUAGUAGAAGAAAACGUAGCCCCAACACUCCAUCACGUCAGCUUAAGAACGGACUUCCUCAAUGAGAAGAAGAGAAAAAAUGUGGCAAAGAGACACAGGAGAGAAGAAUACCCUGUGGCACGUGAUGGGUUGGGACAGAGGCAUCUGAGAGCUAGGGGACACGAAGCUCCUCACCAACCCCCAUGAUCUGGGAGAGAGGCUAGGAGCCAACCCUACUGAUGCCUUGAUUUCAGACUUCUGUUCUCCAGGACUGUGAGGAAUAAGUUCCUGUUUCUUGAAUUCAUGAAGUUUGUGGCUAUUUGUUAUAGCAGCUACAGGAAACUAAUACACAGCCCCAGUCUUUGUCCAGUUCCUUCCUAGUUUCUUCCAUUGUUUCUUUGGGGUCUGCCUCUCCCAUGAGAAUGCAAGCUCCAUGAGAGCAGGGCCUUGUCACCACACCCCCAGUGACUGCCACGGUGACACUGACUGAAUGAAUCAACAGUGGGUUCAGCCUGAAGAAACCUAUCAGUGAGGCCGCUGAGUCGAAUGGCAGACUUUUGUUGUUGUUUGACACUGGGAAUUGCACCAGGGCCUCACUCCGGGCUGUCCCACCGGGCCUCCACCCCAGCCCCAGGCAGUGAGUCAGAUUUCUCUUCCCGAAACACCAUUGCUGUGGCACUCAGUUUCCUAAAUGUAUGCUACCCUCUCCCAGUAAUAAAAUUGUUGGUUGUAA